UUUCAAGCUCAAGUUAUUAGGGUAUUAGUAGUUAUGGCCGUAUGUUGUACUUUGUCUUUUUCAAAUUAUGCUAAUUUGAAUUUUUGAGUAAUGAGUUGUGACUAUUUUGCAUUUAUUUUGUUUAGUGAGGACUAUUGCUAUUGACUAUCGGACUCAAGUGGGUGUACCGUGCUAAUAGCGAUGCCUAGGCCCAAGUACUCUCAAAUCCAUAUCUCCGCGCCUUUGAAUGUUGUGGUACGUAACUGUGGCUUUAAAUUUUGUAUAUUUAUCUUGGGCCUUAAUUAACCUGAACUUGAAGUUCCCCGGGUUCAAUUUCAAGCUCAAGUUAAUUAGGUAUUAUUAGACAAGGCCUUAUGUUUUAAAUACGCUUUGGCCCUUUGUCAAAAUUAGCUGAUUUGAGUUUUUUGUGUAAUAUGUAGUGACUGUUUUUGCAUUUGGUCUGUUUUGCGAGGACUUUGCUAUUGACUAUACCCGUAUUCAACUUCAAGUCGGUAUUUAGGUACUUGUUUUUGUUGUUAUUAUUUUAUGUUGUUUUUUUAUUUAUAGCAUGAUUUUAAUGUUUGAGUACGAGUGAGUGACUGCCUUUGCUUUUUUGUUUUGUCGAGGACUAAUACUGUUGACUAUCGGGUUUAAAUUUCAUCAGCUCAAGUGUAUUAGGGUAAUUAUUAGUUAUUUCCGUAUGCUUUACUUUGUCUUUUUCAAAUAUGCUAAUUUGAAUUUUUGAGUAAUGAUUUGGCUGACUAUUUUCAUUGAUUUUUUGUUUAGUGAGGACUAUUGCUAUUGACUAUCCGGACUCAAGUUGGUGUUACCGUGGUAAAGCGAUGCCUGGCCCAAUACUCUCAACCAUAUCCCACCCUUUGAAUGUUGUGGUCGUAACUGAUGGCUUAAAUUUGUUGUCAUUUAUUCUUGGGCCUUAAUUAACCCUAACGUGAAUUUCCCCGGUUCAAUUUCAAGCGUCAUGUUAAUUAGGAAUUAUUAGACAAGGCCCUUUAUUUAAACUUUGUCCUUUUUACAAGUUAUCUGAUUUGAGUUUUGUUGUGUAAUAUGUAUGACUGUUUUUGCUUUGUUUUCGUUUUCGAGGAACUAUUCUCUUGACUACCGGAUUCAACUUCAGCUCGAGUUAUUUUAGGUACUUUUUGUUAGUACUUUAUGUUGUUUUUUUAUCUACAAGCAUGAUUUUAAAAUGUUUUGAGUAACGAGUAGUGACAGCUUUUUGCAUUUUGUUUUGUUUUGGCGAGGACUAAUACUGUUGACUAUCGGUUGUUAAUUUCAAGCUCGAAGUUAUUAGGGUAUUAUUAGUUAUGGCCGUUAUGUUGACUUGUCUUUUUCAAAUAUGCUAAUUGAUUUUUGAGUAAUGAGUUUGACAUUUUGCAUUAUUUUUGUUUAGUGAGGACUAUUGCUAUGGACUAUCGGGGACUGGAAUCAAGUGGGUGUACGUACUAAAUAGCGAUGCCUAGGCCCAAGUUCUCAAAUCCAUAUCUCCGCGCCUUUGAAUGUUUGUGGUACGUAACUGUUGACUUUAAAUUUUGUAAUUACUUGGGCCGUAAGUUACACCUGAACUGGAAGUCCCGGGUUCAAUUUCAAGCUCAAGUUAAUAGUAUUAUUAGACAGGACUUUAUGUUGUACUUGUAUUUUAAAAUUAUGACUGAUUUGAGUUUUUGUCUGUAGUAAGAUGUAGUGAACGUUUUUGCAUUGUCGUUUGCGAGGACUAUGCCCUAUUGACUACCGGAUUCAACUUAAAGUGCGAGUUAUUUAGGUUAACUUUUUGUUAGUACUUUAUGUGUGUUUUUAUUUAGAGACAUGAUUUAUGUUUGAGUAACGAGUAGUGACUGCUUGCAUUUUUUUGUUUUGCGUGAGGACUAAUUCUGUUGAAUAGUCGGGGUUUAAUUCAAGUCAAGUUAUUAGGGAUUAGUAGUUAUGGCCGCAUGUGUACUUGUCUUUUUCAAAUUAUGCCUAAUUGAAUUUUUGAGAGUAAUAGUGUGACUGUAUUUUGCCUUAUUUUGUUUAGUGAGGACUAAUGCUAUUGACUAUCGGAUCAAGUGGGUUUGUACCGUGCUAAUAGCGAUGCCUAAGGCCCAAAGUACUCUCAAAUCCAUAUACUCCGCGCCUUUGAAUGUUGUGGGGAGUACGUAAUGUGCUUUAAAUUUUGUUAUAUUAUCUUUGGCCUUAAUAACCUUGAACUGGAAGUUCCCGGGUUAAUUCAAGCUCAAGUUAUUAGGUAUAUUAGACAGGCCUUAUGUUGUGUACUUGUCUUUUUAAAAUUAUGCUGAUUUGAGUUUUUGUGUAAUAUGUAGUGACUGUUUUGCAUUUGUUCUGUUUUGCGAGGACUAUUGCUAUUGACUACCGGAUUCAACUUCAAGCUCGAGUUAUUUAGGUACUUUUUGUUAGUACUUUAUGUUGUUUUUUAUUUAUAGCAUGAUUUUAAUGUUUGAGUAACGAGUAGUGACUGCUUUGCAUUUUUUUUGUUUUGCGAGGACUAAUACUGUUGACUAUCGGGUUUAAUUUCAAGCUCAAGUUAUUAGGGUAUUAGUAGUUAUGGCCGUAUGCUGUACUUUGUCUUUUCCAAUAGCUAUUUGAAUUUUUGAGUAAUGAGUUGUGACUAUUUUGCAUUAUUUUGUUUUAGUGAGGACUAUUGCCUAUUGAUAUCGACUCAAGUGGGUGUACCGUGGUAAUAGCGCUGCCUAGGACCAAGUACUCUCAAACCAUAUCUCCACGCCUUAAUGUUGUGGUACUUAACUGUGGCUUUAAAUUUUGCUAUAUUUAUCUUGGGCCUUAAUUAACCUGAAACUUGAAGUCCACGGGUUCAAUUCAAGCUCAUUUAAUUAGGUAUAGUGACACGGGCCUUAUUAUUAAAAUUUGUCUUUAAAAUUAUGCUGAUUUGAGAUUUGGUUAAUAUGUAGUGACUGUUUUGCAUUUGUUCUGUUUUGCGAGGACUAUUGCUAUUGACUACCGGAUUCAACUUCAAGCUCGAGCUAUUUAGGUACUUUUUGUUAGUACUUUAUGUUGUUUUUUAUUUA
This 3017-nucleotide long non-coding RNA is filed under the name Actinidia chinensis (golden kiwifruit). Its description in RNAcentral is "long non-coding RNA (ACHI_LNC000050)". The record is from RNAcentral. Lineage: Eukaryota; Viridiplantae; Streptophyta; Magnoliopsida; Ericales; Actinidiaceae.